GGCAAACCCGCGACAGUUCGAGAGCUUCGCGAUUUCGCGAGGCAGUUUGCCCCGUUGGUGCUUUGUAUAGUUGAAACUCAACUCCCUAGAGUUAGAGUGGAAAACUUGGCAAGCACCCUAGGUUAUGAUAAUGCAUUUGCUAUUAGUAGCUCUGGUAGGAGUGGUGGUCUCGGUAUCUUUUGGAAUAAUGAAAUAAAGAUCGAAAAUUUUAGUUACUCUGCUUAUCACAUAGAUGCUCAUGUUACUAUGCCUGGUGCUCCACCAUGGCGGCUCACAGUGAUGUACGGCGAAGCCAAAGUCAGUGAUAGAGGCAAGACUUGA
RNAcentral lists this ribosomal RNA (321 nucleotides) under Triticum aestivum (bread wheat). Its description in RNAcentral is "partial small subunit ribosomal RNA". Lineage: Eukaryota; Viridiplantae; Streptophyta; Magnoliopsida; Poales; Poaceae. The record is from RNAcentral.